RNAcentral lists this ribosomal RNA (237 nucleotides) under uncultured Staphylococcus sp. RNAcentral's name for it is "partial 16S ribosomal RNA". It matches the Rfam family "Bacterial small subunit ribosomal RNA", at positions 103 to 334 of the family's 1533-position model. The record is from RNAcentral. Lineage: Bacteria; Bacillati; Bacillota; Bacilli; Caryophanales; Staphylococcaceae.
CGGGUGAGUAACACGUGGAUAACCUACCUAUAAGACUGGGAUAACUUCUGGAAACCGGAGCUAAUACCGGAUAAUAUUUUGAACCGCAUGGUUCAAAAGUGAAAGACGGUCUUGCUGUCACUUAUAGAUGGAUCCGCGCUGCAUUAGCUAGUUGGUAAGGUAACGGCUUACCAAGGCAACGAUGCAUAGCCGACCUGAGAGGGUGAUCGGCCACACUGGAACUGAGACACGGUCCAG